This 253-nucleotide ribosomal RNA is filed under the name uncultured bacterium. RNAcentral's name for it is "partial 16S ribosomal RNA". It matches the Rfam family "Bacterial small subunit ribosomal RNA", at positions 524 to 776 of the family's 1533-position model. The record is from RNAcentral.
GACGAACCGUGCGAACGUUGUUCGGAUUCACUGGGCUUAAAGGGCGCGUAGGCGGGCUGUCAAGUCUGGGGUGAAAUCCCACGGCUCAACCGUGGAACUGCCUUAGAUACUGACGGCCUCGAGGGAGAUAGGGGCGAGCGGAACUGUGAGUGGAGCGGUGAAAUGCGUAGAGAUUGGAAAGAACACCGAUGGCGAAGGCACUUUACUGGGCUAUUACUAACACUCAGAGGCGAAAGCUAGGGUAGCAAAUGGG